GGGUAAGGAAGUAUUACCAAGUCUGUUUUUCAGACUAAGGAGGAGUUUGCAAACUGAGAUAGUGCAAAAUAGACGUCUUGUUGCCCAGAACAUGACCAGAGACACCCAGUUUUGGCAUGCAGGCAGGGAGGCAGGAACACCAUGGGCUGGGAAAUAACUUCCCUCUGCAUGUCAUGGGGAUCUCCCAGGUUUAAUAACUCACCUUAUUGCUUGCUGUUGACUCCCCUCAGAAUUUACAGUUAAUAUCAACCUUAAGAAAAACAGAGCAAAAAUCAAUAACCAGAGAAGAAAGAGGAGCCCCAUCUCCCCAGGCUGUCACCUGCUGCCUGACAGACACAGCCACAGCUGCCCACCCCUGACAGACCCUGCCCAGGGCUCAGAAAGAGAGGAGGAAAAAUUUCUGACACCAGACAGGUGAGUUGUACCAGCAAGAAGCCAUAAAUAAAGACAGAUCCUGGUAAUAAAAGAACCCUGUGAUGAUCUGUGAAGCUUCACAACAAUCCUUGGCUCAUCCCAAACACCUGAUACUGGCAAAAUUAAUGUAGGGAGAAGGAGGGUGAAGCCAGAGGAUUUCUGCCUGAGAGUUCAACACUUUUUCAAGAGAUGAUGGGGACCCCCAGCCACUCUUGGUCUGAAUUCCUACAAUGAAGUUAACAUUACAGUUAAAUAGGAAGUUUUGCAGCAUACCAGUGCACAGUGCACAUAAAAACUAACAGUGCACAUAAAAACUAACAGUGCACAUACUGCCAGUGCACAUAAAAACUAACAAAAUCAGCCACUAAAUGGAACCAGUGGAACAGGUAGGAGGAGGGUUAUACACACAGGUGGGGGAUAUCUUUUGUGCAGCAACCUGGAGAAAGUCUGCUUUUAAUCUUUUUGAGAAGAGACAUGAAUAGGAGACAGGCGAGAAGCACAAUUUUCCACAACCUCCCCAAAUCUCCUUCUGAUCCUCAGAGGAUCUAUUCAGGAUGGCACUGAUACUGCCUCUUGUUCAUAUUGCAAGUUGGUGAGGGAUUGUAACACCAGAAGCAAACUGUAUUCAAAACUGAAACCUUGCAGUGAGUUGUAACCCUUCAUCCUUUCUUUUCUUACUAAAACUCAGCGCCCAGUAGUUUGGGUUAAAGGCUGGCCAUGCAGAUCCAGAGAACAGCACACAGCCUUGUUACUGCACACUGUGCCCUUGGAGCUGCCUCCCCGCCGCAGAGACAGGCUGGGCCAGGGACAGCGCCAGGAGCAUCCUGGUGCUGCAGGGGACUGCCCUGCCCCUGAGCCAUGCAGGCAGCACCCCAGGGCCCGUCCGAGGGCUGAGCUGGCAGCCCUGGGCUGGGUGAAGCUUUUCUCCUGCUGCAGAGCCCAGCCCAACAUCCACGGCCCCUUUUGUUCCCAGCUCAGCUGACAAAGCAGCUCUGUUUGACUCGGGAUCUGCUUGAGUGUAAAGGAGGAACCAAGGACAACCUUUCUCUACAAUUAAACCUUUUGCUUUUCCUCCCAGAGCACCUCCAGCUCGUGUUCUACCUGUGUGGAUGUGUGGCAGCUGACCCAGGAGUGUCACUGGGUGCCCACCCACAUCUCCUGGCUGUGUGAAACUCGAUCAAGCUGCACUCUGUCUUCUGAACACACAAAGAAGGCAACUGCACAGAGAAAAUGACAAUUUUUGUCAGGACCCAGGGAAUUCAUGCGUGACCACACAACCUUUCCCCAAGGGUGAAGCUCUUCACCCUGCAGAAGCCCCCAGGAGCUGUGUGGGGCUGCCCACUGUGCUGGGCCAGUGCAGGCAGGGCAGGGAGGCUGGGAUGCUCCCACCAUUCAGAUAACAUCCAGAGUCCUUCCCCUACACCCCCUGGAGCAGUGGCAAAGCUGACUGGGGUGGCAGGAGGUGUGUGGUGCUUAUUGCCCAGCCCCUGCCUGGGUGAACCACAACACUCCUCCCAGCCCAGAGGAGAACAAUGGAUCUGGGUGCAGCACUGACCAAAUACACACAAGCUCCCUUUUACAGAAUCCCAGAAUGGUUUGGGUUGGAAGGGACCUUAAGGUCACCCAGUUCCACCCCACUGCCUUAGACUUAUCUGGAAACUUCCUAAAUGCUCCUGCUUUAGCUGGUGCAGACAUGUCCUGAGGAACCUAAUGGUAGAAUUUAGUUUGAAAUAGCACUUAAAAGCUCUUCUGAAAUAAAGCAUUUUCAUGACUUCUCUGCACUUGAGCCAAUUUCUUCAGGCAGCCUGCCCCAUAUUUAAGAACCAAAGGCAAGAUCCCCACAUUAGGUGUCUAGUGCUAGGUUUUAAGGCCCUGCACUUGAAAAUAUGUUCCUGAAUAUCUGAUACUCAGGCACCUGGAAAUAAGCAUUUGCCUUUGGAGCGAACAAAAAAGGAAAGCAUCCCUGUAUGUUAUUUUUAUUUUCUUUCCUUUAUAUGGUUUUAAGCUGCUUUUAUGCGGCACUGGAAAGUUACAGCCCGUGAUUUGUUGCAUUCUGGUCUGCUAAUAGAAACAUCCCCCUGACUGCUGCUCACUCUGCAGAGCAGGAGGAUCGUAAUGCAGAUUGUAAAUGGUUGCAUUACGGGGAAAGAUAAUGUUUCUUUCCACUUUCAUUUCCCUCGGUUGGUGUUUAUCGUGGCAGGGGUUGCGUAAGCAUAUGAGAGAGAGAUCAUGCAUUAUUUACCAGGCUGGGACUGGGGAAAGGCUCCAGCCUUUCAGAGGGUGGAUGAACGCCCAGCAAUUCCCACCCGCUAAGAUUUGUGCUGUGUUUGGUGGGAGCUUGGCUGAGGAAUUGUGAAAGCAAACAGGAUCAUCCUGCCAGCCUGGAGAGAGGCAGGGAUGGGGCUGAGGGACACAGGCUCUGCUCUCUCUCUGUUCAGCUCUGGACAGUUCAUGGCAGUAUUUAUCUCACUCCUUGGCGAGACUGCACCAGAAUUGCCACCAAGUCACCAGAACCAUCAACCAAUUCCUAAAGGUCUGCUGGGGCUCCAACACACCUGAACAAAAUUUCUUGCUCUUGAAUGUAGCCGAGGGCAGCCAAACCCAGAGAUGGGGCUGACCCAGGAGGAGACACAAGCCUUUCCAGCCCCAGGAUUGUCCCCACAAUGCCACCGGGGCCAGUGAUGCUGACCCAGUUUCUAAAUGGAACAGGAAGUUGCAACACUCUGAAGUUUAUUAUCAUUAAAAUCUAGCCAGGGUUAGAGGCUCUGUUUGUCCCUGCAGUGCUACUGCCAGUGCACAUAAAAACUUACAAAAUCAGCCACUAAAUGCUGGCAGCCUUGGGAAAGUAUUUUUUUAAAAAAUCCUAAAAACAAGAAACAAACACAGUGAAACUACUAAAUAAGGAAUAAGUUAAUGAGGAAAAAUUAAAAGGUACUGGAGACUUUAAAUACUCUUUCAAAUUAAGGAGUACAAAGAGAAAAGAUCAGCUCUUAUUUUUGCAAUUAAGGUGUUAUUUACGGCAAUUUAGCUGUUUUAAGAUUAAGCUUGGAAACAGUGCCAUGGAAAAUACAUCUUAUUUACUCCCAAGGCUUCUCAUCAGUUUCUAGAUGAGCACCAGCCAGCCAGCCAAAAGGCAAGAGGAGUUCUGAACUCCCUGUAAAACACCCUGAGGAUUGAUGCCCACACUGGGCAGCUGCACUGUGACCACUGGGAACAGCCACAGCACUGGCACCAGAGCUGAGCUACGGCACCUUCAGGGCAGGAACCUUCCCAGGAUGAGAGAGAACUUUGUGCAGGAGCAAAAGGGGGAAAAUAAAGAUUCUGCUUCUGUGUCUACGUGCAGCCUGCAUGUGAAGAGGGGUGGGAAGAGGGUGCUCAGGGGGGCUCCCUGUGUGUGCAGGGCAGGGAUGCAGCCCCAUGAGGCUGUCUGGGGGCAUUUACCAGGCAGAGCAAACAGCCCUGUCCCCGCAGCGAGUGAACCAUCCCAUCCCAGGACUGUGCCAUCCUCCCCAGGGACACAGCCAGGGGAACGCUCCCCACAGGCUCAGGGGAGGGAGGGAUGGAGGUGAAAGAUGCCAAGGAGCCCCUGGCAGAGCCCUUUCUUCUGCACCACAUGUGCAGGGAGGAAACACAUCAAUGUCCAUGACAUCCCUAUGCAUCUUUGGUUGCAUUUUCCUCCUAUUACAGAGUUGGAAACAUUUGCUGAGAACUUGUAUGAAAAACAUUAAGACUGUGCACACUCCUUGUAGGAUUCAGCCCCAGAUGCCUUCUUGUUUUUCCUACAUAUAAAUAAAAGCAAUAAAGGAAAUAAAUAAAAAAGUAUGUAAAGCUUUGUUAAAAGCAGUUCAGAGAGGAGAGAGCUGAAGAUGGGAUGAUGCUGGGAAGACAUUCAGCCUUGCCAUGCUGCUGCUCACAGAGUCCCCUCUUUGAAGGAGGCAUGAAAGGAGACUUUGCAACAUGAGAGUUCAAACUGUGGCUCUGUUGAUUUUUCCAGCCCCCACGGCUGCCUGCCUCAGCAUCCAGUUCUCUGAACCCACAGAGUAAAUAGGUGUAACUCCCGUGGCUCUGCAGGCAGGAGAUGUGCUCCAGGGAGGAGCACUGGGGGCAGGCAGGAAAAGCUCCUGCUGCCAUCCUGGAGAGCAGCAUGAGGCACUCAGAGCACUUGGGCUGAAAAACUGGGGGAAGAGAGAGAGGGAGGAACAAAAAUCAAGAAAAUCUUCCAGAGAGGAAGACCUCCUUGUGAAUGACAAGGUCCCCAGGACUUGUAAGUAAACACACAGCUAAUGCCUCGUCUGAGGAUGGAUGCAGGAGGAUGCGAACAGGAAUGUGACAGAGAUGUGUCAGCUUUUUACCUCCCAGAAGAGCUGCUGGCAGCACAAGGGUUUUAACUGGAGCACCUGGAGAUGGCAGGAGAUGAGGAACAUGCUGACCAGGGCCUCAGAGGGUGUUGAUUUGAUUUUAUUCAAAUCUAACUGACCAGAAGAUUUCUCUUCUCUUCAUUCGCCCUCUCUCAGCAGAAACAUUUAUUAUGCUAAGUGAAAUGUUUAACCACUGGCACUGUUGGCUGCAACAGCUCAUCAUAAGCAGCUUUAGCAUUCGCUGGGAUCGGCGCCCUGGGGCUGGAGGUGGUGUCUUCCUCUGCCCAGUUAUUCUUCCUCGCUCUUCUCGUCUCCCCUGCCCAUUUUUCAGGUUGCAAUGCGUUAAAAUAAAAGUAUUAACGGCGCUUAUCUUUUGCAUGGGAGACUGUGAGAGCAAGCUGGCGAGCAGCCAGGAGCUAAUAGCAGCAUAAAGCAAUUUGCUGAAAAAAAGAAUUAACAUGCUAAUUGUCAGGCUGGAGAGGGUGCUGCGGAUCACAGAGGAGUAAAACAAGAAAAAAAAAAAAAAAA
Molecule: long non-coding RNA, 5300 nt
Filed under: Taeniopygia guttata (zebra finch)
Lineage: Eukaryota; Metazoa; Chordata; Aves; Passeriformes; Estrildidae
Description: lncRNA (ENSTGUG00000023031.1)
Source: RNAcentral